This 482-nucleotide ribosomal RNA is filed under the name uncultured bacterium. RNAcentral describes it as "partial 16S ribosomal RNA". It matches the Rfam family "Bacterial small subunit ribosomal RNA", at positions 30 to 507 of the family's 1533-position model. The record is from RNAcentral.
AUUGAACGCUGGCGGCAUGCUUUACACAUGCAAGUCGAACGGUAACAGGCCGCAAGGUGCUGACGAGUGGCGAACGGGUGAGUAAUGCAUCGGAACGUGCCCAGUCGUGGGGGAUAACUACUCGAAAGAGUAGCUAAUACCGCAUACGAUCUAUGGAUGAAAGCGGGGGACCGUAAGGCCUCGCGCGAUUGGAGCGGCCGAUGUCAGAUUAGGUAGUUGGUGGGGUAAAGGCUCACCAAGCCAACGAUCUGUAGCUGGUCUGAGAGGACAACCAGCCACACUGGGACUGAGACACGGCCCAGACUCCUACGGGAGGCAGCAGUGGGGAAUUUUGGACAAUGGGCGCAAGCCUGAUCCAGCAAUGCCGCGUGCAGGAAGAAGGCCUUCGGGUUGUAAACUGCUUUUGUACGGAACGAAACGGCUCUGGUUAAUACCCGGGGCUAACGACGGUACCGUAAGAAUAAGCACCGGCUAACUACGUG